UAAUCCCUUUGAUCCAUCCCAUGAUAAUCAUGCGUUACGUUAGAAGAGCUAUUCUUUGAAAUUUUCCCCUAUAUAAACCUCAACAGUGGUUAUCAUCUUCCCGGGUUUCUCCAUUUCUUUCUUCCGCAUACUCUCUCAAGGCUAUUAGGGUUUUCCCCUAAUCGUCGACAACUCCAGCUAGAAAGUGCGGAAGAUUUAGGUUUUUAAGUAAUUAUUUAUCAAGGCUAAUUUGAGUUUUCUUUUCCUAAUCAUAGGCUUCCAUUCAUUUUCUUUUUGCUAACUAUCACUCGUUUUGAAUAAGUGUUGUGAGUUAACCAAGAUUCAAUUUUUUCGCUACUUCAGUUUGGUGUAUGGAUGCUCAUUUUGCUUAUAUGAAUGGAAACCCCAUGAUUAACCAAUAGGAUUGGCCGUGGCUUUAUGGUAUUAGGUUCUUUAGUUGUGUGUGCAUAGUGAAAAGAAUGAUUGCUGACUGAAUUGGUUUCAAUUUUUUCCAGUCCAUAAUCCCAUAACUUUUUUCAAAUGGGUUCCCAGAUUGUCAACAGCCCUUCUAAAGUUCCGCAACCACCUGAGAACAGUGCCAUCAAAAGUUAUUAAAUGCCAGGAUCUAAGCACGGUGUCAUCAAAGAUUAUAUGAGAAGUCCGAUUAAAGGAUAGAAAUGCAUCAGCCAUCGGGCAAGUUUGAAUUUAUGUUCAAACCGGUGGUACCUCUGCUCCUUCCACAUUAAAAUUCACUUGCUAAAGAGUGAAGCCGCCAUGGUGGAGGAUGUGUCAGACAGAGAUAAGAAGAAUGAAUUCGUUGCGGGGAUGAGAAAAGAUGGUUCAAUGCCAGCAUUUUAGGAAAUGGAAAUGUUGGUGGGUAAAUACCACCUCUUCUUUGUAGAAUUCUAGCACACAAGUUCAUACCCCCUCCCAGUAGCGGGCAUGAGUUGUUUGAAAUUAAACUAUGCUAAAUCGGUGUCACAUUACAAGGGCACAUCCAUAUACUACAACUGCAAAAGCCUGCAAUCAGAAUGCAUCAGCUUCAUGUUGCUGAUAAGACAACUAUGCUCUGCUGCACUGUUUUGUCUGGAGGAGUUAUUAGAAGGAAGUGGAGAAAAAAAUGUCUUGCUUACUACAUUUUAAAGGUAUUUAGUUACUAGGGCAUUUAAAUCUUAGUUUUAACCUUUGUUUGGUGUAUUAUAGAUACUUAUAACGGGGCCGCGUUGCUUUCAGUUGUAGUAGUCCAUAAAUGAAUUGAUAAAAAGUAUGAUUUUAAA
Molecule: long non-coding RNA, 1256 nt
Organism: Papaver somniferum (opium poppy)
Lineage: Eukaryota; Viridiplantae; Streptophyta; Magnoliopsida; Ranunculales; Papaveraceae
Exons: 4
Source: RefSeq, a predicted model, not a curated record